This 137-nucleotide ribosomal RNA is filed under the name Nicotiana sylvestris (wood tobacco). RNAcentral's name for it is "5.8S ribosomal RNA". It matches the Rfam family "5.8S ribosomal RNA". Rfam says of the family: 5.8S ribosomal RNA (5.8S rRNA) is a component of the large subunit of the eukaryotic ribosome. It is transcribed by RNA polymerase I as part of the 45S precursor that also contains 18S and 28S rRNA. RNAcentral also lists the same sequence under 1 other name. The record is from Rfam by way of RNAcentral. Lineage: Eukaryota; Viridiplantae; Streptophyta; Magnoliopsida; Solanales; Solanaceae.
GACUCUCUACAAAGGAUAUUUCGACUCUCGCAUCUAUGAAGAAUGUAACAAAAUGUGAUAUCCCGUGAACCAUCGAGUCUUUGAACGUAAUUUACGUCCGAUGCCAUUAGGCCGAGGGCAUGUCUGUCUAGGCGUCA